CGGAGUGUAGCUCAGUUUGGUAGAGCACUGCCUUCGGGAGGCAGGGGCCGGAGGUUCGAAUCCUCUCACUCCGACCA
RNAcentral lists this transfer RNA (77 nucleotides) under Gammaproteobacteria bacterium RIFCSPHIGHO2_02_FULL_38_33. RNAcentral's name for it is "tRNA-Pro". It matches the Rfam family "tRNA". Rfam says of the family: Transfer RNA (tRNA) molecules are approximately 80 nucleotides in length. Their secondary structure includes four short double-helical elements and three loops (D, anti-codon, and T loops). RNAcentral also lists the same sequence under 3 other names. The record is from RNAcentral. Lineage: Bacteria; Pseudomonadati; Pseudomonadota; Gammaproteobacteria.